RNAcentral lists this long non-coding RNA (1059 nucleotides) under Pan troglodytes (chimpanzee). RNAcentral's name for it is "lncRNA (ENSPTRG00000053771.1)". The record is from RNAcentral. Lineage: Eukaryota; Metazoa; Chordata; Mammalia; Primates; Hominidae.
GUGAAUAAUUAUAUGACCUAUAGUAAGUAUGUUCUUUGCAAUAUUUGGGUCAUACUAAAAUAUUAUUUCUUGUUUUUCUGACAUUGAAGUUUAAUUGGAUGUAUUUUAUCUGGGAAAUUUAAUUGUAAAUGUUCAAAUUUAACUGGGCAUAUUUCAUCUGUCAACCCUAUUUGUGAAUAUCAGAUAAAGAGGUGUAGCUUUCCCCAGAGACCUGUUUUUUUUUUUCUAAUAUUUGAUGGGGAAGGUCUGGAAGACAUCUAGCUUGUAAACAACGCUAAACUCUGUUAAGUCUCUUCAGUUGUAAAGAAAAUUUGAACUGAGAUUAAUUUAAAAAAAGGAAAAUAAUAUCAACAGCUAAUAUUUAUUCAGUACUUACUCAAGAGAGAAACUAUCCUUGAAUUUUUUCAUUAACUCUACAUGACAAUUGUUAUAAUUCUUGCUUUCCAAUGGGGAACUUUAGGUACUUGAGGCUUCAAGACUGCAGAGUUUAUAAGUGGUGGAGCUGAGGUUUAAAACACCAGCUGUUUAUGACAGACUUCUACCACUAUCAAAGCUUAGUCACUACUAUGUACCUCCUCUUUACUGUGUAUUUCAAAAUAUAAAAAUUUUUUCAAAUAUAACUGAGUAAACUGUAUUUUAUUUAGAGAAUUAGUUUCAUUUUGGUUUUAUUUUUUGAGAUUUUUUUCUUUCAAUAUUGAAUUUAUAAGAGUCAGGUUAGCACAUAAUGGUGUUUUGUUAGCAAAUCCUUGGCAGGAAUAGACAUGUGACUAUGUGUUUAGAAGCCUUAAGAAAAAUAACCAAUUCAUCUUUUCACUAACUUAAUGGAAAAAACAAACUUCCAAGUCAUCCCAAAUGGAGUUUCUUUUUAAAAGAAAGAACAAGGGUUGCUGUAUCAUUGGAUCCUGGAUGACUAGGUCUACAUCAUCACCUACCAGAUGCAACUGGGGCCUGAGAGGCAUUGCUACUGACAUUUCGGAGAGACCUGUGAUCACUGUAGCCACCUGGUAUCUAGAAGAUUUCCAUGCAAGUUCUAAACAUGAAUCUUUUUCAUCAUGCUGA